UACGGGGGGGGCAAGCGUUGUUCGGAAUUACUGGGCGUAAAGGGCUCGUAGGCGGCCAACUAAGUCCGAUGUGAAAUCCCCAGGCUUAACCUGGGAACUGCGUCGGAUACUGGAUGGCUUGAAUCCGGGAGAGGGAUGCGGAAUUCCAGGUGUAGCGGUGAAAUGCGUAGAUAUCUGGAGGAACACCGGUGGCGAAGGCGGCAUCCUGGACCGGCAUUGACGCUGAGGAGCGAAAGCCAGGGGAGCAAACGGG
This 253-nucleotide ribosomal RNA is filed under the name uncultured bacterium. RNAcentral's name for it is "partial 16S ribosomal RNA". It matches the Rfam family "Bacterial small subunit ribosomal RNA", at positions 524 to 776 of the family's 1533-position model. The record is from RNAcentral.